AUGAUAAAAAAAAUAACCGUGUUAAAAUAUAUUAUAUUUUCUUAAAUAGUACACAUUUUUACGAUACAUUUAUAAUGACAAAAAACCAACUAGUUCAUAUGACGACAACGAUAAUUAUUGUAUGAUGGUAGUUGUCUGAAGUCAUAAAAAGCUUAUCGGUAUGCUUAUUCAUUAGAGCGGUUUGAUUCCUGAAACUAUCUCUAGUCUGAUUAAGUGUGGUAACAGUUUUAAGAUGAGUCAAAGAUGAUGGUUGAACAGUUCUCCAUUGACACUAACUGGAAGAAAUAAUUGUUUUAUCAUUUGUCUAAAUAGACUAGCUAGAAUGUGACCAGAGGAAGAUUAAAUGGACAUAUCAUAUAUUUCUCCAUGGACACUGUAGUAAUCCAUAGACUGACUUUUGACACUAUAUUUGAAUAUUUGUUGUUGACGUUAAUUGGAUUUUGUGCAAAACCCCUGGAAGAAUAUUCUGUAUCAGACUAACAGUAUAAACGCCACCCAGUAAUUCUGUUUACCUGCUGUUAGACAUCGUAGUACCAUCUCCAAUCUCUUUAUAUAUUGUUUAAUUUUAUUUAAAAAAGUCUUAUUAUAAUUUAUUAUUAAUCAAGUGUAAUUCAGUUGAUUAUUUAUUGAAUAACUUAUUAUCCUGUCUUCAAUGUCCAUAUAAACUGUACUGUAUUUAUGACCACUACACUGAUAUCUCAUUUGACUAAAUAUUUUUAAUUUUCAACUACAUUAAAAC
Molecule: long non-coding RNA, 739 nt
Organism: Adelges cooleyi (spruce gall adelgid)
Lineage: Eukaryota; Metazoa; Arthropoda; Insecta; Hemiptera; Adelgidae
Exons: 4
Source: RefSeq, a predicted model, not a curated record